CUGACGCUUUAUGUUUGUUUGUAGAUCUGUCAUCUGAGAAAGCGUACGAGGACAAACCUUUGACGAAGGAUGAGACGAAGUUAUUGCUGGGCUUAAUUGAGAGCAGCCCAAUAAUUUUCUCUAUAAUGACAAAAGCCGCCAGCAACAAAAUAAAAACGUCGAGGGUCGAUACACAUUGAUCGACGGCGUCCGAGAGUUUGUCCAUAGAAAAAUAGCGCAAUGUGUGGCACGACGUACGCGCUUAGGAGGUACUCGGCAGGCUGACACAAAACGCAAUCAUUCGUCGGCGGCAGAAGGCGGCGAUUGACGCCUGACGGUGGGAAUGAUCGAAAAAAAGAUCUUAUAUCAGGGAGUGUAGGUUUUUUCACGCGUAAAAAUUUCCCGUUAAAGUCAUUAGCUUAAAUUAUUUAUUACACGUAAUUUAUAACACCCUAGCGGUGCGAACUUUUCCGUAAAUGGGUGAUCGACAUAAUGCGUACUAGUGUGAAGGUUUUCAAUCGGCGAAGUGCGAAAUUAAUGUGUCUUGACCCUUAAACGAUAACGAUGGCAAAUUAAGUAUAAAAUGUAUAACUUUCCGAGGGUAAUGUUAUCAUUUCAUUCAUACUUAGGCAGACACACUUGCAGUACCACACGCAGAAACAUCGGUCGCCGCCUUUGAUUCUCACGUCUCGGACGGCCACAGAUUCUUCAUCGUCAUUUAUAAGAGCAACUAUAAACACAAUUUUAUAUUAUUCAAAGCUCUGAGAUCUUGGUACAAAAUAUUGACAUGUAACUGCAGCCAAGGCAAUAGCCGUUUGUUAGAGCUCAACAAAUUUUCAUAAUAUACCUACAUCAUUUUCACUAUAUACAUAGAUCAUGUCUAACUUACACUAGUCUGGGGGGAUAAUAUUAUAUACAAUUAGCCCGUACAAACAGACACACUAAAAAUUAAAAAAAAAUUGCGACUUGUUCAAUUUUCUUAUUACAUCCCCUGACUCGGUUUUAAGCAUUUUUUUUGUACAGAAAUUCGAUCUCUACAGUUUUAUUAUAAGUAUAGAUAUAGGAAAUAUUUGUAUGUUUGUAUGUAUUAGUAUUUUUAUUUCUAAUUAAUAAAGUUUAAAAGUA
Molecule: long non-coding RNA, 1104 nt
Organism: Leptidea sinapis
Lineage: Eukaryota; Metazoa; Arthropoda; Insecta; Lepidoptera; Pieridae
Exons: 2
Source: RefSeq, a predicted model, not a curated record